Molecule: transfer RNA, 73 nt
Filed under: Zootermopsis nevadensis
Lineage: Eukaryota; Metazoa; Arthropoda; Insecta; Blattodea; Termopsidae
Rfam family: tRNA
About the family: Transfer RNA (tRNA) molecules are approximately 80 nucleotides in length. Their secondary structure includes four short double-helical elements and three loops (D, anti-codon, and T loops).
Source: Rfam by way of RNAcentral
GCCACGGUGGUCUAGCGGUUAGAACGCUGGCCUUGUAAUCCUGGGGUGCCGGGUUCGAUUCCCGGCGGUGCCC